AUCGUCACUAUCUUUGAGUUAAUGCAUUGAGUCCCCUCUCAGGGUCUCUUAGGCAGGCACAGCUUUCUGCCUCAUCCACGUUACACAUCCUGUGUUCACUUCUAACUCCGCAUGCAUUAUAUUUUCUUGAACACGGCCUUCAUUGUAACCAAGCUUUCUCCUUUUGCACAGUACAAGUGCUUUAUUUUUCUCUGCAGACAAUGGAUUCCCUUUGUAUCUCCCUUACUUUUGUUUAAGACUUCUAAUUUAUCCCAAGGUCAUCUUUAAUCUCUUCUCCGUAUCUCAGCUACUUCACUUGAUCUCAACUUCUACCCUGUCUGUGUCAAUAAUAUUCUGUUCCUUUGUUCCAGGUAGUUCAACAGAUUUAAGGCACUUACUGUUUGUCUCUUCAGGCAGACUCUUUACGGGCUGAGCCACCAGGGAAGACUCAAUGGGAUCUGCUGCUGCUGCUGCUAAGUCACUUCAGUCGUGUCCGACUCUGUGCGACCCCAUGGACUACAGCCCACCAGGCUUCUCUGUCCAUGGGAUUCUCCAGGCAAGAACACUGGAGUGGGUUGCCAUUUCUUUCUCCAAUGCAUGAAAGUGGAAAGCGAAAGUGAAGUCGCUCAGUCGUGUCUGACUCCCAGCGACCCCAUGGACUGCAGCCUACCAGGCUCCUCCAUCCAUGGGAUUUUCCGGGCAACAGUACUGGAGUGGGAUGUUCAGCUUAAAAAAUGUAUGAUGUUUCACAUAAAAGUUGAAGUCACUGGAGAGCAGGAGGUUUUCCUGAUCUUUGCUUCUUCCAUUUCCUAA
Bos indicus x Bos taurus (hybrid cattle) is the source of this 792-nucleotide long non-coding RNA. The record is from Ensembl. Lineage: Eukaryota; Metazoa; Chordata; Mammalia; Artiodactyla; Bovidae.